This 250-nucleotide ribosomal RNA is filed under the name uncultured bacterium. RNAcentral describes it as "partial 16S ribosomal RNA". It matches the Rfam family "Bacterial small subunit ribosomal RNA", at positions 524 to 773 of the family's 1533-position model. The record is from RNAcentral.
UACGGAGGAUCCGAGCGUUAUCCGGAUUUAUUGGGUUUAAAGGGUGCGUAGGCGGCUUUAUAAGUCAGGGGUGAAAUACGGCAGCUCAACUGUCGCAGUGCCUUUGAUACUGUAGAGCUUGAAUGUGGUUGAAGAUGGCGGAAUGAGACAAGUAGCGGUGAAAUGCAUAGAUAUGUCUCAGAACACCGAUUGCGAAGGCAGCUGUCUAAGCCAUAAUUGACGCUGAUGCACGAAAGCGUGGGGAUCAAAC